UACAGAGGUCUCAAGCGUUGUUCGGAUUCAUUGGGCGUAAAGGGUGCGUAGGCGGCGCGGUAAGUCGGGUGUGAAAUCUCGGGGCUUAACUCCGAAACUGCAUUCGAUACUGCCGUGCUUGAGGACUGGAGAGGAGACUGGAAUUUACGGUGUAGCGGUGAAAUGCGUAGAUAUCGUAAGGAAGACCAGUGGCGAAAGCGGCACCCUAGCAUUUUUCUGACGCUCAUGUGCGAAAGCGUGGGGAGCGAACGGG
Molecule: ribosomal RNA, 253 nt
Filed under: uncultured bacterium
Lineage: Bacteria
Description: partial 16S ribosomal RNA
Rfam family: Bacterial small subunit ribosomal RNA
Source: RNAcentral